CUUUUAACGUUAUUUUACUU
This 20-nucleotide small nuclear RNA is filed under the name Arabidopsis thaliana (thale cress). RNAcentral's name for it is "snRNA_03917". Lineage: Eukaryota; Viridiplantae; Streptophyta; Magnoliopsida; Brassicales; Brassicaceae. The record is from RNAcentral.